UACGUAGGGGCUAGCGUUAUCCGGAAUUACUGGGCGUAAAGAGCUCGUAGGCGGCUUGUCGCGUCUGCUGUGAAAUUCCGAGGCUCAACCUCGGGCGUGCAGUGGGUACGGGCAGGCUAGUGUGUGGUAGGGGAGACUGGAACUCCUGGUGUAGCGGUGAAAUGCGCAGAUAUCAGGAGGAACACCAAUGGCGAAGGCAGGUCUCUGGGCAGUUACUGACGCUGAGGAGCGAAAGCAUGGGUAGCGAACAGGAUUAGA
This 258-nucleotide ribosomal RNA is filed under the name uncultured prokaryote. Its description in RNAcentral is "partial 16S ribosomal RNA". It matches the Rfam family "Bacterial small subunit ribosomal RNA", at positions 524 to 782 of the family's 1533-position model. The record is from RNAcentral.